Molecule: long non-coding RNA, 712 nt
Filed under: Mytilus galloprovincialis (Mediterranean mussel)
Lineage: Eukaryota; Metazoa; Mollusca; Bivalvia; Mytilida; Mytilidae
Source: RNAcentral
AGAUAAAUAUUUUAGUGCGAAUAAUAGGGAGUAAAACCGUGCUGCAUUACCCUCUAUUUUUUAUUGUGUAGCAAUACUGUGGUUGUUUCUUUAUUUUUUUCUUAAUGAAAUAGAUGCACUUCACGAAGUAGAACACAUAUAGUACUUUAUUUUUGAUGAUUUUUGUGAUUGUCACAAUUUUCAUACAUCAUUUAGAUAAAAAAAAACUUUUUAUUCUGCUUGUAAUCGCAAUCUUAGUAUGCAAAUAUUUUGGUAUUUUAUGUUAUCACUAAAAUUGCAAUAUAUCACAUGCUUCGAUAGAACCAGUAGGAGUUCAUAUUGAGAAUUAUAAAGCGACUGCAUGUUUGUCCAUACAACUUAGUAUAAAAAAUGGUCAGUUGAUUUAGACUGUUUUAAAUUUAUUUAAUCGUACGAAAAAAAAAGAAAAAUUACAAAAAUACUAAACUCCGAGUAACAUUCGAAACAGAAAGUCCCUAAUCAAAUGACAAAUUCAAAUGAAAAAACACAUCAAACGAACGGACAACAACUGUCAUAUUCCUGACUAAGUACAUGCAUUUUCAAAUGUAGAACUAAAAAAGGAUUAAACAACAUAUCAGAAACUUUAGGUGUUGUUUUUUUGGUUGUUAUGAUUAUGAUCAUUAUGUUUUUGUACGAGAUCUGAUUUUUAAAAACUAGAUAGUUGGUAAAUCUCUUGAUUUUUUUUAAAAGAACA